This 652-nucleotide ribosomal RNA is filed under the name uncultured bacterium. RNAcentral's name for it is "bacterial SSU rRNA". It matches the Rfam family "Bacterial small subunit ribosomal RNA", at positions 94 to 733 of the family's 1533-position model. The record is from RNAcentral.
AGCGGCGAACGGGUGAGUAACACGUAAAGAACCUGCCUCAUAGACUGGGAUAACUAUUGGAAACGAUAGCUAAUACCGGAUAACAGCAUUAACUGCAUGGUUGAUGUUUAAAAGUUGGUUUUGCUAACACUAUGAGAUGGCUUUGCGGUGCAUUAGCUAGUUGGUGGGGUAAAGGCCUACCAAGGCGACGAUGCAUAGCCGACCUGAGAGGGUGAUCGGCCACACUGGGACUGAGACACGGCCCAGACUCCUACGGGAGGCAGCAGUAGGGAAUCUUCCGCAAUGGGCGAAAGCCUGACGGAGCAACGCCGCGUGAGUGAAGAAGGAUUUCGGUUCGUAAAGCUCUGUUGUUAGGGAAGAAUGAUUGUGUAGUAACUAUACACAGUAGAGACGGUACCUAACCAGAAAGCCACGGCUAACUACGUGCCAGCAGCCGCGGUAAUACGUAGGUGGCAAGCGUUGUCCGGAAUUAUUGGGCGUAAAGCGCGCGCAGGUGGUUUAAUAAGUCUGAUGUGAAAGCCCACGGCUCAACCGUGGAGGGUCAUUGGAAACUGUUAAACUUGAGUGCAGGAGAGAAAAGUGGAAUUCCUAGUGUAGCGGUGAAAUGCGUAGAGAUUAGGAGGAACACCAGUGGCGAAGGCGGCUUUUUGGC